UUUGGUGGCGAUAGCGAAGAGGUCACACCCGUUCCCAUACCGAACACGGAAGUUAAGCUCUUCAGCGCCGAUGGUAGUUGGGGGUUUCC
Molecule: ribosomal RNA, 89 nt
Filed under: Bacillus pumilus
Lineage: Bacteria; Bacillati; Bacillota; Bacilli; Caryophanales; Bacillaceae
Also listed under: 2 other names
Source: RNAcentral